RNAcentral lists this ribosomal RNA (253 nucleotides) under uncultured bacterium. RNAcentral describes it as "partial 16S ribosomal RNA". It matches the Rfam family "Bacterial small subunit ribosomal RNA", at positions 524 to 776 of the family's 1533-position model. The record is from RNAcentral.
UACGUAGGGGGCAAGCGUUGUCCGGAAUCAUUGGGCGUAAAAAGCGUGUAGGCGGCCCGAUAAGUCCGCUGUGAAAGUCCAGGGCUCAACCCUGGAAUGCCGGUGGAUACUGUCGGGCUCGAAUCCGGAAGAGGUGAGUGGAAUUCCUGGUGUAGCGGUGAAAUGCGCAGAUAUCAGGAGGAACACCAAUUGCGAAGGCAGCUCGCUGGGACGUUACUGACGCUGAGACGCGAAAGCGUGGGGAGCAAACAGG